Molecule: long non-coding RNA, 1567 nt
Filed under: Homo sapiens (human)
Lineage: Eukaryota; Metazoa; Chordata; Mammalia; Primates; Hominidae
Description: HSALNT0046954
Source: RNAcentral
GUGUGUCUCUGACUUGCAAGGCUUGGCUUCUAGUUCCAUCUUAGCUAUGCUGUGAGUUUCAGGCCACCACUUGUCCCUGUCUACUCAAUGGAAAGACCAGCUUCUGCUCACCUACUGCAUUAUCUGGGUUUGGGUGCAAUGAGUGUGACCUAGAAAGUCUGAGAUUUUACAAACAGAUAGGACAAAGAGACUAAUGGCUGUUUUAGAAAGUGAUCAAUACUUUAACAUUUUAAACAAUAUCGAUAGCCUAACAUUUUAAAAACGUAUUAUCACCAUUCUUAUGGACCUUGGUCCUUCUUAUUUGGCUCUGCCAUGUGCCUUUCUUGCUCCUCCUCCUUGAAUGUUUUUAUGAUGUUGUGUAACUGCCUCACAUUUGUAUUUAAUUGACUCUAAGUGUAUUGUUCCAAAAUCUUUUACUGACUAGCACGUGGCUCCCUGGGCACUGACUCUGCACUUGUGUGGUAGCGGUGAUUGUGUGUGUGUGUGUGUGUGUGUGUGUGUGUGUGUGUGUGUGUAACUGAGAGAAAGAAAGCAACUCAGCAAGUGCCAACUGGCAGCCUCUCUGGAUCAAUAAUAUUAACUAUUUCAGAGACUUCCAAGGAGAUAUUGCCAACUCUUUUGUUUUUUUUCAAUACUAUUAUCGCUAUUACAAGGGCACCCCAAGGCCCUUUUACUUAAAUACAUGACAGAAUGACCCAAAUGAGAGUACUAUUGGUUUCUGCCUUCAAGAGCUGCAACUUCAAUGGCUCGUACAAGAUGGGUGGUUGGGGUUAGGCUUAAUCUUAAUUUUGAGGUCAAGGUUUCACAAGGAGGGAUGGCAGGAUCUCCUGGGAGCUCAUUGUGUGACUGCUACCCUUGUGACCACUUGCUCAGCCUUACUCUGAGAGUUUCCAUCUGCCUUUAUGAAGACAUGUUUAUAGAAAUCUAGGACCACAUUGGCAAAACAAAGUAGUGUUUAAGUGCAUAGGCUUUGGAAAAGGCAUUCUGGUUCUACCCUCUGCUCUGUCAUUUAUGGAUGUGUGAUCUUCUCAAGGCCCUCCAUCUCUCGAGGCUCCAUUCCCUAUUCUGUGGACUGUGGGACCGAGAAGUUGUCUAGUGGUGAAUGACAACUGAGAUUCUGUGAUGGUCAUUCAUUGCAGGGGUUGGAGAGCCAGAGGGAGGGCAUGUAGCUCAAGUGAGAAGACAAAGGCCUGAGAACUCCAUGGAAGUCUUUAUUAAUUAAUGUACUUAUUUAUUUAUGUUAAAAUAUUUUUAAAUUGACACAUACUAAUUGUACAUAUUAGUGAGGUACGUAGUAAUGUUGCCAUAUGAUAUGGUUUGGCCGUGUCCCCACCCAAAUCUCAUCUUGAAUUCCCAAGUGUUGUGAAAGGAACCCAGUGGGAGGUGAUUGAAUUAUGGGGUUGGGUCUUUCCUGCGCUGUUCUCACUAUGGUGAAUAAGUCUCACGAGAUCUGAUGGUUUUAAAAAGGGGAGUUUCCUUGCACAAGCUCUCUUCUCUUGUCUGCUGCCAUGUGAGACGUGCCUUUCACCUUCUGCCAUGAUUGUGAGGCCUUCCCAGCCAUGUGGAA